CCCGCUGAACUUAAGCAUAUCAAUAAGCGGAGGAAAAGAAACUAACAAGGAUUCCCUUAGUAACUGCGAGUGAAGAGGGAAAAGCUCAAAUUUAAAAUCUGGCAGUGUUUCACUGUCCGAGUUGUAACCUAGAGAAGUGUAACCUGCGCUGGACCGUGUAUAAGUCUCCUGGAACGGAGCGUCACAGAGGGUGAGAAUCCCGUCUUUGACACGGACUACCAGGGCUUAUGUGAUGUGCUCUCAAAGAGUCGAGUUGUUUGGGAAUGCAGCUCUAAAUGGGUGGUAAAUUCCAUCUAAAGCUAAAUAUUGGCGAGAGACCGAUAGCGAACAAGUACCGUGAGGGAAAGAUGAAAAGAACUUUGGAAAGAGAGUUAAACAGUACGUGAAAUUGUUGAAAGGGAAACGCUUGAAGUCAGUCGCGUUGUCCAGAAAUCAACCUUGCUUCUGCUUGGUGUACUUUCUGGUUAAUGGGUCAGCAUCAAUUUUGACCGGUGGAUAAAGGUCAGGGGAAUGUGGCAUCUUCGGAUGUGUUAUAGCCCUUGGUUGCAUACAUCGAUUGGGAUUGAGGAACUCAGCAUGCCGCAAGGCCGGGUUUUUAACCACGUACAUGCUUAGGAUGCUGGCAUAAUGGCUUUAAUCGACCCGUCUUGAAACACGG
RNAcentral lists this ribosomal RNA (658 nucleotides) under uncultured fungus. Its description in RNAcentral is "eukaryotic LSU rRNA". It matches the Rfam family "Eukaryotic large subunit ribosomal RNA", at positions 24 to 664 of the family's 3401-position model. Lineage: Eukaryota; Fungi. The record is from RNAcentral.